GAUGAACGCUGGCGGCGUGCCUAAUACAUGCAGGUCGAGCGAACGGACGAGAAGCUUGCUUCUCUGAUGUUAGCGGCGGACGGGUGAGUAACACGUGGAUAACCUACCUAUAAGACUGGGAUAACUUCGGGAAACCGGAGCUAAUACCGGAUAAUAUUUUGAACCGCAUGGUUCAAAAGUGAAAGACGGUCUUGCUGUCACUUAUAGAUGGAUCCGCGCUGCAUUAGCUAGUUGGUAAGGUAACGGCUUACCAAGGCAACGAUGCAUAGCCGACCUGAGAGGGUGAUCGGCCACACUGGAACUGAGACACGGUCCAGACUCCUACGGGAGGCAGCAGUAGGGAAUCUUCCGCAAUGGGCGAAGGCCUGACGGAGCAACGCCGCGUGAGUGAUGGAGGUCUUCGGAUCGUAAAACUCUGUUAUUAGGGAAGAACAUAUGUGUAAGUAACUGUGCACAUCUUGACGGUACCUAAUCAGAAAGCCACGGCUAACUACGUG
This 497-nucleotide ribosomal RNA is filed under the name uncultured bacterium. RNAcentral's name for it is "partial 16S ribosomal RNA". It matches the Rfam family "Bacterial small subunit ribosomal RNA", at positions 28 to 507 of the family's 1533-position model. The record is from RNAcentral.